This 227-nucleotide unclassified non-coding RNA is filed under the name Hevea brasiliensis (rubber tree). Lineage: Eukaryota; Viridiplantae; Streptophyta; Magnoliopsida; Malpighiales; Euphorbiaceae. The record is from RNAcentral.
CCUAAUUCGUGGGAAGAUACAAUGAAAGAUGAACUGGAUCGUGGAAAAUAUCCUCGAAUGCCUUGGCAUGAUGUCCAUUGUGCCCUAUGGGGACCACCAUGUCGUGAUGUACUAGGCAUUUUGUUCAGCGUUGGAACUAUGCAAAGAGAAAUAAAGCUCCGUAUGAGGAAGCAAUUCCACUACUUAUUCCUCAGCAGCACAUGGUUAUUCCACACUAUAGGGGAAGA